UUGGGAAGUUCCUUUUGCAAC
This 21-nucleotide non-coding RNA is filed under the name Caenorhabditis elegans. The record is from RNAcentral. Lineage: Eukaryota; Metazoa; Nematoda; Chromadorea; Rhabditida; Rhabditidae.